GAACACCAGAAAACAGAAUGCAAAUUCUUUUUCCAUUUGUAUAUAUGGGCUUUGGGGAGGGGUUCUUAACUCAAAAAUUUAAGAACACCAGUCUAGAAUGCCAGAAAGAAGAAAAGGUUGUCCCCCUCCCUGUCCUGCCCCUUUCAAAAUACUAUCUCUAAAUGCUAAUAGUAGUCUGAUACUUAAAUGUCUGGUAUAGAAACUUACAAAAUACCACAAUAAUUUAUGGAAGAAAACUUUCCUCAGCCUAAGAAACCCUGACAAUUACCCCGCGUGCUGGUGGCAUUUAAGAUCAGUGUGAUCCUAAGUACAGAGCCAUUUAGUGGCACCGAGUUCUGAAGAACACUUCACUAAUCAGCAACGUGGCCUCACAGAGCCCCGGUACUUGGUAAUCAAGGCCCUCACUCUCGCUCACUCAGGGCGGAAGAUCAGAGAGCUGGUGUUCUUAAUACAAAUGAUUUACUCAUUCUUUCAAAAUAUCAUCAGACUACAUGGUAAAUUAAGUUAAAAACAACACUACAGACUGUCACAAUAGUUUUGCACUUGCAAAAGGAUGUUUAUAAUUUCCAAGUUUGAGUUACACGUACUGUUUCAUUUGAUAGCCACUAGUAUCUGAGAUACGAGGUAUUCUGUGCACAUGCUAUAAUUCUCCUUUAGUAGACCAGGAAACCAGUGCUCAGUUAAGAAAACUUUCCCCAGAUCAGGAGACUGGACUAGACCUGGGUGAACCCGAACAUGGACUAGAACUAAGCCUUUUAAUUUCUAACAUCGCAUAUUAACACAGCCUCUCAUCAUUGCCAUGGGAAGAAAACAACGCAAAAAAUGCCAGAUUGGGGAAAAACAAUUGGAUAGCACUGUAGAAUCGGUUAUAACAAAGUAUGUCUUCUAUUCUGUACACUAAUACAUAUUUUGCAUAAGCCCCCAGCUUGCUCUAAAGCGCAUUCAUUUGAUUCAUCUAGUGCAUGAUGAUCACUGACCAGGCAUCAGGCACCAUGCUCAGUGCUGGGCUAGACAGUGAAUGAAGUCUUGCUUCAGAGCAGCCUACAUCCUUGGGGGAUAUAUGGAUUCCACUCAGUGGGUAAGGUCUUUGGAGGUAUAGCUAUGCUAUGAAAGAAUCUUUCCCCACGUGGCUACAAAAAGCCAUGACCACCAGAUUUAAAUAUAUGUUAUUACACACACACAGUACAGUGAGUAGCCUGACAGUUGCCUCUAUCUUGUCUGUAAACCAUGCCUGUUCAAUACAUCGGAAGAACAC
This is a non-coding RNA of Vicugna pacos (alpaca), 1255 nucleotides long. NCBI's taxonomy places the organism in Eukaryota, Metazoa, Chordata, Mammalia, Artiodactyla, Camelidae. The record is from RefSeq and is a predicted model, not a curated record.